RNAcentral lists this ribosomal RNA (478 nucleotides) under uncultured bacterium. RNAcentral describes it as "partial 16S ribosomal RNA". It matches the Rfam family "Bacterial small subunit ribosomal RNA", at positions 28 to 523 of the family's 1533-position model. The record is from RNAcentral.
GACGAACGCUGGCGGCGUGCUUAACACAUGCAAGUCGAACGGUAAGGCCCUUCGGGGUACACGAGUGGCGAACGGGUGAGUAACACGUGGGUGAUCUGCCCUGCACUUCGGGAUAAGCCUGGGAAACUGUGUCUAAUACCGGUUAGGACCCUGGGAUGCAGGUCCUGGGGUGGAAAGCUUUUGCGGUGUGGGAUGGGCCCGCGGCCUAUCAGCUUGUUGGUGGGGUGAUGGCCUACCAAGGCGACGACGGGUAGCCGGCCUGAGAGGGUGACCGGCCACACUGGGACUGAGAUACGGCCCAGACUCCUACGGGAGGCAGCAGUGGGGAAUAUUGCACAAUGGGCGCAAGCCUGAUGCAGCGACGCCGCGUGAGGGAUGACGGCCUUCGGGUUGUAAACCUCUUUCAGCACCGACGAAGCGCAAGUGACGGUAGGUGCAGAAGAAGGACCGGCCAACUACGUGCCAGCAGCCGCCGUAA